AUCCAGAUGACGAGUCCCAAAUAGGACGAAAUGCGCAUCCUG
RNAcentral lists this non-coding RNA (42 nucleotides) under Trichobilharzia regenti. The record is from RNAcentral. Lineage: Eukaryota; Metazoa; Platyhelminthes; Trematoda; Strigeidida; Schistosomatidae.